AUUUAAAUAGCUUAAUAUAAAGCAUAGUAUUGAAGAUACUAGUAUAAUUGUUUAAUUUUUAAAUA
Molecule: transfer RNA, 65 nt
Filed under: Scolytoplatypus sinensis
Lineage: Eukaryota; Metazoa; Arthropoda; Insecta; Coleoptera; Curculionidae
Description: tRNA-Phe
Source: RNAcentral